Long non-coding RNA from Ahaetulla prasina, 1162 nucleotides. RefSeq lists it as uncharacterized. Lineage: Eukaryota; Metazoa; Chordata; Lepidosauria; Squamata; Colubridae. The record is from RefSeq and is a predicted model, not a curated record. The transcript is spliced from 3 exons.
CCUCCUAGCCAACCUCAGGGAGCUGCCGCAGGACAUACGAAAUAGAAUUCCUGCCACGAAACACUCACGUAAACCUACAGGAACGGUAUAUUUUUGGCCUCAAAAUACACAAGGCGGCUUCCCAUUGCAGCAGAGCAGAAAAUGGGCAAAAUAUUCCCUCGACGCCCAUGAAUCUGUCAUUAAAGAAGUUGUGCGUCUGCUAGGGAAAGGAUUACAUGUUCCUCAACAUUGCAGAUCGUAUCCCUUUGCAGAGAAUUUCGGCUGCCACAAGGCAGUAUUCUGUACUCCCCUCCCCCUUCCAUCUCAUUGGAUGAUUCAGGCCAAUCCACAGAAUGCUAAGGAUUCCGGCAGAAUCUUAGCAUGGCAACUGGUGAACUGGGUCCAAACGACUUGAUAUCGCCUAGAAUCACAUAUUGAUGCUACAGGCAACUGGAGAAGCUAAGUGACAAGACAAAAGAGCACAGAACAAGCUUACUGAGAGAUGGGCUUGCACAUUAUUAAAGCAGCCGAAAAGCAGAUACAGAAGGAAUGGACAAACCGCAAUAAACUUAUGCAGACAUAAAUUCAAUAGUGAGUGGUUUAUGGAAAAAUGAAGAUAAGCAUAGCACUGGAGUGUUGGAAUGGAAAGACGAAAAUGGUGAGUAGUGAAUUGGCACAGUUUAUCUUGAUGAGAUUGAUUAGUCAUAAUUACUGAAUUAUUAACUAUGAGAACUUUAAAAAAAAAUUGCUUUCAUUUGUAGAUUAACCCCAACUUGCCACGUUAUUACAAUUCAGAAAAGCAAUUUCAAUUAAAAUGCAUUGGAGUGUGUCAACAUCACAUAAUAGUUUACAAAGUUACGAUUCUGUAGUUAGAGUCAGAAGUUUUCAGUUGGCACUGUAGCUGACUUUCAUGCAAAAGAAAUUAAGUCAUCUGAAGUUACAUGUAGAGCUGGUAGCUUGAAGAUCCUAGUUCAACUCAGCUGAUUACAGGUUGAUUUUUUUAAAUUUCCAUAUCAAGCAGGGAUGGAUCAUAGAAUUUUUCAGAGUCAAAUAUCUUCUUUCAACAAUUACAACCAUUGAAAAAUAUGCUUAAAAUAUUCCAUUAGUCUGACAUCCUUAGAAAGUUAUCAAAAGUUAAUCAUGUCAAACAACAAUAAAAACAAAACCCCAGAGCCAAACUCUU